Molecule: ribosomal RNA, 816 nt
Filed under: uncultured fungus
Lineage: Eukaryota; Fungi
Description: eukaryotic LSU rRNA
Rfam family: 5.8S ribosomal RNA (bases 427-580)
Source: RNAcentral
AAGUYGUAACAAGGUUUCCGUAGGUGAACCUGCGGAAGGAUCAUUAUCAGGACAACAACCMCGAUUCAAGGAACAUGGGACGGCGUUGGGGUAGCCCUACCCMCAAUUGAGCGCCCGCGUCCGGGGAGGGACCAUUGACCCAGGGGUGAGGAGGUGCCCUACGGGGCGGCGACGAGACUUCCGGCCGACGUCGCGCGUGCACCUAGCCCAGGCGUCCGGAACGCUACUCCCCCCUCGCCCGUCCAAGCCACCGGCGGGUCUAAACGCUCGUUCCGAAGGAACAACCAACACACUGCGUACACAUCCCUGUUGCUUCCCCGGGGCCGUCCCCGGGGGAGGCCCCCGAGCGAAACGCGCCGCCCAACCCUCGGUCCGACGGCCAGCGUGCCAAGGAACUAGCAACGAGCGAUGAAACAGAGAAAAAAAAACUUUCAACAACGGAUCUCUUGGUUCCCGCAUCGAUGAAGAACGCAGCGAAAUGCGAUAAGUAAUGUGAAUUGCAGAAUUCAGUGAAUCAUCGAAUCUUUGAACGCACGUUGCGCCCCCUGGCAUUCCGGGGGGCAUGCCUGUUCGAGCGUCUCCGGGACGAAUCCUCGCGCGAGAUCAAGCGCGGUCAUGGCGCCGGUGGCGAGCCCGAGGCGGCGGCCACCGCGCCGGAAUCCAAUGGCAGACGCCCGCCGCGUGGCCUGAGCGUGAUAUGACGCACUGGCGCUCCCGCGCGGCGCGGCCUGCCGCACGCCGCCCGUCCGUUCGGGCGGGCCGGAAGCAAAGACAUGGGAACUCCUCGAAUCAGGUAGGGAUACCCGCUGAACUUAA